CCAAGCGUGAGAAGGACCGCCAG
This 23-nucleotide non-coding RNA is filed under the name Arabidopsis thaliana (thale cress). The record is from RNAcentral. Lineage: Eukaryota; Viridiplantae; Streptophyta; Magnoliopsida; Brassicales; Brassicaceae.